AACGUCGCUGCAGUGGGCGGGGACUCGCGGCACUGAGGAAUAUCGAUUGGUCAACUGUGAAGCGCGUCUCCACCCCUACCCGAAGGGCUAUUUAAAUAGGUUUGGGCCGGGGGGGGGCGGGGGUUCUGAAUGCGCCGUUCUGAUUGAGGUAGAGGCAUAUCCAUCACUGCUUCGCCUCUACUUCUUAAAUGGAGGCCUUGAUAAAUAGUUCCCCCAUGUUUUAUUUCGUUUUCAGUGAAAACUCAACUAGAACGACAAAAGGCGCAGAUCGAAAUCACGUUAUUAAUGAAUGCUGACACGAUACAAAUCGUCAAAAUAACAAUCGUAAGGUACAAAUUGUCGAUACAAGCUUCGUCUGUGGUAAACAUAGAGAGCGCAAGGAGACUGAGUGACUGGUGCUGGGCUAAAAAUACAGGUGGCUGAUAAUGUCCCGUGUUUUAUUUGGUUGGAGCAGGCAGUAGGGGGCGGGCAUUCCGGGCGGGAACCGCAUUCUGAUUAGCUGUCGGUAUCGAGGCUGUUGCCAGGCUCUGGUCUCCCAACAAAAGGUGCCGGGGGUUGGUGAGGAGCGGGAGCGCGCACUCCGUCUCACAACAAAACCGCUUGUCCUUAGGUUGAGCGUGCGUUAGAAUCAGAUGGUGUUCCCAGGGAUCUUGACUUCAGUUUUUCAAGAAGUGCAGCUGGCUUGGAUGAAAGAAUGAAGAGUUACAUCUUCAGGACUUUCAGGAGGUGCUGAGCUGUCAUCUUGAACCACUGCGGUCCAUAUUAUGCAGAUACACUGAGAUUACUGUUUAGAUCCAGCAACAGUGAAGCAACAGGACAAUGAGAUGUGCCUUAGAGAAGAACUUGCAGAUACAAGUGUUCUCAUCAAUCUGCUGUCUUUGGCCUUCAAGCUGAUAGAGGAUGUAUGUUUGAAAGGUAUCAAGGAACCUGCAUCCUGUAGCCAAUACACACUGGUGCCAUUGUAUGGAACUAGUGAAUUGGGUGCCAACCAAGUGGGAUGCUUUGUUCUGGAUGGUGUUAAACUUAUGGUGUAGUGUUGGAGCUGCAGCAAUCCAGGGAUUUGAAGAGUGUUCCUAUUACCCUCCAGUUCAAAUUCUGGUAACCAAAGGAUGCUUUUUUCAUUUGUGCAUGGAAUGUUUGCAUCAUUGGCCCACAUUGUUGCCUGUCCCUAAUUGUCCCUUGAUCAAAAAUGGCUUGCUCGGACAUUUCAGCGGGCCACUAAGAGACAAGCAGGUCUGGAGUCACUUGUACGACCAACCAGGUCAGGAAUACAGACUUGUCAGAUUUGUUUGGUGUCAGAUUGGAUCCCCCAGGGAGGGAGUGGGUUUUUAGGUCUGGUGGUUUGUGGGAUUGCGAGUGUCAGGUCUGGUGAGGCUGGAGGACUUUGGGUAUACUGUUGUCAGAGUAUGGGGAGCUUUUGGGGGUUGAAUCUCUUAGUGUGGGCGGAGUAAUUGGUGAAUUGAUGGCUGUCUAAUAAUUAUGCAGGAGUUACAGUACAUUUAUAAUCCUGUAAUGUUUCCGAGGUAACCAUUAAGUCAGAAUGCUCUGAAUUCCCUAAGGGGCUUUAAUGGAGGGUUGUUGUUAAUCAGAAUUUUUAUCUUCCUGGGCAAUUUCCUUGCGAUCAGCUGUGUCACAAUUUCAACGUUGUGCUGCAUGCAAUUCCAGUCCGCACUGCUGCACUGACAGCCUGGCCAGUGGAAUACCUAUGUCAUUGUCCCUUCAAUGACAGGACUUUUGGGGAAAUGUGAUGUGGAUUGUGUGCCACUUGUGAAGAACAAGGGAAGAAGAAUGAAACAAGGGAUGGAGAAUAAGGACCAAAAAUACCCAUUAAUCAGUAACAUUAUAAAGAGUUAAAGGAAAAUUGAGGCGUAAACGGACACAUUGAAUAGAUAAAACUAGAAGAAAAGCUGAGAGCAUCCUUGGUUUUAUAAAUAGAUUUAGAGUACAAAACCAAAGUGGUGAUUAUAUAUAAAUGGUUGGUUACACCACAGUUAAAAUAGAGUGUGCUGUUUUGGUGCCUCACUUUAAGAGGGAUGUCAAGGCCAUGGAGAUGAGAAAGAGAUCCACUGAGAUAAUCUCGGAAUGAAGAGAUUAGAGAAUCAGAUCUUUUCAUUAGUGUGGAGAAAGUUAAAGGGACAUUGGUAAGUAUCUUUGUGAUGAGGUCAGGAUUGGUCCUUUUCAGUCUGAGACUAUGGCAAGGGAGGGAACAGAAUUUUGGUCAGGACUAACAGUAAUGCUUUUACUCUUCCAAAUAAAAUUAGAGGCAAUUUUGACAUCAGUAUUGGAUGUUGGGCAAACAGUGUGACAACCCAGAGGCAAUGGAGGGUCGAGGGAUAUCAUGUGUAGUGAGGUAGUUAGCAGCAUGAAUGAGGAACCUCAUACAUUUUUGGAUUACGUUGUUGAGGGGCAGCAAGUAAAUUAGAAAUAUAAAGGGGUCAAGGAUAGAUUUCAGUGGGACACCAGAGGUCUGGGAGAGGGAGAUAUUCCAUUCUCGAUGAUUCUUUGGCUCUGGCUGGUUGAUCAGACCUUUUUCUUCCCUCAGUCCACACACUGAUCAUAAUUGGCAAACCCUUCUCUAUACACAAUACCUCAAGAAACUCCAAUUUAAAACCUCAUGAAAAUUUGGCCUUCUUAACAAAUGGGAUUUUGCUGAUUUAAACUUUGGAUACACCUCAUCCAUAGGAAAGCAAGAAUAUGACUUAGCUGAGUGUGCUAAGGUAAAUUAAUUGGGUCAUUUGUCAAGUUAUAGAGUCAUAGAGAUGUACAGCAUGCAAACAGACCCUUUGGUCCAACCCAUCCAUGCUGACCAGAUAUC
Molecule: long non-coding RNA, 2815 nt
Organism: Chiloscyllium plagiosum (whitespotted bambooshark)
Lineage: Eukaryota; Metazoa; Chordata; Chondrichthyes; Orectolobiformes; Hemiscylliidae
Source: RefSeq, a predicted model, not a curated record